CUUGUGUGUUUAAGGAGAGCCUGAGAACGAGGACUCGCCCCGGAGGGAGCAAGGCCGGCGGAUAGCAGGACAACCGGGUCCGAGGCCCUUUUUGGACUCACACCGGAUACAGUGCUUGGUAUAUGAGACCCAACAGAGUCUUGUCUUCAAGGAACUCACCACAUCGUGAGGGGAGAGACAGACCUGUAAAGAAUCCUGCAGUGGAGUGCAUCAUGUGCCCAGAUGAAGACCAAAGCCCAGAAAAGGGUAUGUCCAGUCCAGGAUCCCUCAUCAAGACCUCAUCAAGGAAGGACUUUGACUUCUGUCUGGAACCUGAAGAUUCCCCAUGUGAUCAAAACCAUGGGAAGGACGCUCCCAGGC
Lagenorhynchus albirostris (white-beaked dolphin) is the source of this 360-nucleotide long non-coding RNA. RefSeq lists it as uncharacterized. Lineage: Eukaryota; Metazoa; Chordata; Mammalia; Artiodactyla; Delphinidae. The transcript has 3 exons. The record is from RefSeq and is a predicted model, not a curated record.